CUACCGUAUUCCUCUUGAACUUGGUACCCUCUUCCAGUACCGAUCUCUCCCCCCAAUGACUCAAAAUCUAGAGAUGUGCAACCAAACAGUUAAAGAUUCAGCAACUGUCCGGUGUUCAGAAUAGCGGCGAUUAGAUCAAUUUGAAGUCUGAAAACUGAUUUCUAUUGGGAAAUGAAAAAUUCUAUUUGGCAAUGGGAAUUUCAUUUCCUCUAGCCAUAUCUUCACAAUCAACAAAAGCCUGGUGCUGAUGGGGAUGGGAUGGUGACAGUGAGGACUGGGGUGGUGGUGUUGAAAGGGGGUUUGAGUUUCGGACAGGAUGUUUUAACUUUACUUUUACCCUUUUCUUUUUAUUUCUAUUAAAAGUAAUUUCCUACCUAUUUUAUCCCCAUACAAGGUGAAACGUUUUGGUUGGGAGGAUGGAAACGAUGAACUUGCUACAAAGUUGAGAGGUUGGAUACAACUGUAUCCAAAAAUUUUAGUUUGGUGUCUUGGGAACCAACUUGUUUUUACCUUGUGUAUAUGCUAGAAGUAUGUGAGGCAAUUUUUCCAACGAUUUAAUCAGCUGGCCUUUUUGUCUUUGGAUGUUUUCUUGGUGGUUGAUGGCUUUUUUCCCUAAAUCAAAUAUGUUGGUUGAAGUUUUACCUGUCUGCCUCUAUACUUGACUUUGGAGUCGUCGUUUAUUAUUAUUAUUUACGUACAAUUUACACUCCUAUUUGUUUUAAGGAAG
This 727-nucleotide long non-coding RNA is filed under the name Olea europaea subsp. europaea. The record is from RNAcentral. Lineage: Eukaryota; Viridiplantae; Streptophyta; Magnoliopsida; Lamiales; Oleaceae.